GUUCCAGACAACGUAAGCGGCGCCGAUACGUUGCAGAGACCUCAGUUGCAAUGUUUUGUUAAGCGUUCUUUCGUGAGUUGUGUGCCGAUGUAACGGGCGAGGCUUUAGUGGGAAGCAAACAAACUGCAGAAGAAGGGGAACGCGUGCGACAAGUUUGCAUCUGCGCCUGCGAACACUUGUUGCACAUUGCUCACUGGUUGGAGCGAAUAGUUCCGAAACUCAAGUCACGAUAAUUGUAAUAUGAGCCUUUUCUCCCGGCAGAUAACUAUUUCGUGAUAAGUGUUCGUGUGAAACGUGGUGACAAAGGAGUGUGUCGAACGAUAACUUAGAAUAAGGCGCCAGUUCCUUAUAAAUUAUCUACACAAUGCCUCGAUACUGAUCUGCAAGAAGACAACGCCAAGUCAACACUGCGUCUUCAAAGUCCACGUCAAAAGAUGCUUGUUUAGCGUACGCACGAUGACGACAGGCUCUGCCCCGUCGACGGGACCGCUGGGCUGCAGCGGCGAGGUGGAGGGGCUGAAGACGCACAUCUCAACGGCUUUUGGUGGGGUGCUGCACCGAGCCGCCAGUAACCAGCUCGAGAGGGGACUCGACCCAGGUGGGUCGACCCACCUCACCGGCCUAAAACGACUGAUGCCGGGCCAGCGGCAGGAGCGGACGGCACACGACCCCGCGCCCACC
Schistocerca nitens (vagrant locust) is the source of this 681-nucleotide long non-coding RNA. RefSeq lists it as uncharacterized. The transcript is spliced from 3 exons. The record is from RefSeq and is a predicted model, not a curated record. Lineage: Eukaryota; Metazoa; Arthropoda; Insecta; Orthoptera; Acrididae.